This 1388-nucleotide ribosomal RNA is filed under the name uncultured bacterium. Its description in RNAcentral is "bacterial SSU rRNA". It matches the Rfam family "Bacterial small subunit ribosomal RNA", at positions 28 to 1381 of the family's 1533-position model. The record is from RNAcentral.
GAUGAACGCUGGCGGCGUGCCUAAUACAUGCAAGUCGAACGAGUUCUGAUUAUUGAAAGGUGCUUGCAUCUUGAUUUAAUUUUGAACGAGUGGCGGACGGGUGAGUAACACGUGGGUAACCUGCCCUUAAGUGGGGGAUAACAUUUGGAAACAGAUGCUAAUACCGCAUAAAUCCAAAAACCGCAUGGUUCUUGGCUGAAAGAUGGCGUAAGCUAUCGCUUUUGGAUGGACCCGCGGCGUAUUAGCUAGUUGGUGAGGUAACGGCUCACCAAGGCAAUGAUACGUAGCCGAACUGAGAGGUUGAUCGGCCACAUUGGGACUGAGACACGGCCCAAACUCCUACGGGAGGCAGCAGUAGGGAAUCUUCCACAAUGGACGCAAGUCUGAUGGAGCAACGCCGCGUGAGUGAAGAAGGCUUUCGGGUCGUAAAACUCUGUUGUUGGAGAAGAAUGGUCGGCAGAGUAACUGUUGUCGGCGUGACGGUAUCCAACCAGAAAGCCACGGCUAACUACGUGCCAGCAGCCGCGGUAAUACGUAGGUGGCAAGCGUUAUCCGGAUUUAUUGGGCGUAAAGCGAGCGCAGGCGGUUUUUUAAGUCUGAUGUGAAAGCCCUCGGCUUAACCGAGGAAGUGCAUCGGAAACUGGGAAACUUGAGUGCAGAAGAGGACAGUGGAACUCCAUGUGUAGCGGUGAAAUGCGUAGAUAUAUGGAAGAACACCAGUGGCGAAGGCGGCUGUCUGGUCUGUAACUGACGCUGAGGCUCGAAAGCAUGGGUAGCGAACAGGAUUAGAUACCCUGGUAGUCCAUGCCGUAAACGAUGAAUGCUAGGUGUUGGAGGGUUUCCGCCCUUCAGUGCCGCAGCUAACGCAUUAAGCAUUCCGCCUGGGGAGUACGACCGCAAGGUUGAAACUCAAAGGAAUUGACGGGGGCCCGCACAAGCGGUGGAGCAUGUGGUUUAAUUCGAAGCAACGCGAAGAACCUUACCAGGUCUUGACAUCUUUUGAUCACCUGAGAGAUCAGGUUUCCCCUUCGGGGGCAAAAUGACAGGUGGUGCAUGGUUGUCGUCAGCUCGUGUCGUGAGAUGUUGGGUUAAGUCCCGCAACGAGCGCAACCCUUAUGACUAGUUGCCAGCAUUUAGUUGGGCACUCUAGUAAGACUGCCGGUGACAAACCGGAGGAAGGUGGGGAUGACGUCAAAUCAUCAUGCCCCUUAUGACCUGGGCUACACACGUGCUACAAUGGAUGGUACAACGAGUUGCGAGACCGCGAGGUCAAGCUAAUCUCUUAAAGCCAUUCUCAGUUCGGACUGUAGGCUGCAACUCGCCUACACGAAGUCGGAAUCGCUAGUAAUCGCGGAUCAGCACGCCGCGGUGAAUACGUUCCCGGGCCU